This 279-nucleotide ribosomal RNA is filed under the name uncultured bacterium. RNAcentral's name for it is "partial 16S ribosomal RNA". It matches the Rfam family "Bacterial small subunit ribosomal RNA", at positions 506 to 784 of the family's 1533-position model. The record is from RNAcentral.
UGCCAGCCGCCGCGGUAAUACGGAGGGGGUUAGCGUUGUUCGGAAUUACUGGGCGUAAAGCGCGCGUAGGCGGAUUGGAAAGUAUGGGGUGAAAUCCCGGGGCUCAACCUCGGAACUGCCUCAUAAACUAUCAGUCUAGAGUUCGAGAGAGGUGAGUGGAAUUCCGAGUGUAGAGGUGAAAUUCGUAGAUAUUCGGAGGAACACCAGUGGCGAAGGCGGCUCACUGGCUCGAUACUGACGCUGAGGUGCGAAAGUGUGGGGAGCAAACAGGAUUAGAUA